RNAcentral lists this ribosomal RNA (555 nucleotides) under uncultured bacterium. Its description in RNAcentral is "partial 16S ribosomal RNA". It matches the Rfam family "Bacterial small subunit ribosomal RNA", at positions 355 to 924 of the family's 1533-position model. The record is from RNAcentral.
UGGGGAAUAUUGCACAAUGGGCGAAAGCCUGAUGCAGCAACGCCGCGUGAGUGAUGAAGGUCUUCGGAUUGUAAAGCUCUGUCUUUUGGGACGAUAAUGACGGUACCAAAGGAGGAAGCCACGGCUAACUACGUGCCAGCAGCCGCGGUAAUACGUAGGUGGCGAGCGUUGUCCGGAUUUACUGGGCGUAAAGGGUGCGUAGGCGGAUGUUUAAGUGAGAUGUGAAAUACCCGGGCUUAACUUGGGUGCUGCAUUUCAAACUGGAUAUCUAGAGUGCAGGAGAGGAGGAUGGAAUUCCUAGUGUAGCGGUGAAAUGCGUAGAGAUUAGGAAGAACACCAGUGGCGAAGGCGAUUCUCUGGACUGUAACUGACGCUGAGGCACGAAAGCGCGGGUAGCAAACAGGAUUAGAUACCCUGGUAGUCCACGCCGUAAACGAUGAGUACUAGGUGUAGGAGGUAUCGACCCCUUCUGUGCCGCAGUAAACACAUUAAGUACUCCGCCUGGGAAGUACGAUCGCAAGAUUAAAACUCUAAAGUGAAUUGACGGGGGUCAUA